AGGCCAUGAUGGGGGCACUGUCUCAUCAUGCUCUUGAAUCUGUCCUAAGCUUCAAAUAAUGAUUCUAAGUCAAUUUGUUUGAAGCUAGCAAUCUGGUUCCUCAUGU
This is a small nucleolar RNA of Zingiber officinale, 106 nucleotides long. The record is from RefSeq and is a predicted model, not a curated record. NCBI's taxonomy places the organism in Eukaryota, Viridiplantae, Streptophyta, Magnoliopsida, Zingiberales, Zingiberaceae.